CGAUAUGAUACUUUUUCCAUGAAACCAAGUAGCGCGUGUACUUGGCGUCUUUCUUGUAUAUUUUCAAAAAGAAAAGAGUACAGUCCAUGUUACACGCCGACGUUAUAAACAGCAGCAACUAGAAAAGGUACAACAGUAAAAAGAAAUUUAGUAAGGGCAAUAAAAAUGGACUUGACACCGAUAACGCUUCAACAAUGUAAUCACAGUAAUACCUGAGAAAAUAAAGUGGAGCAGUGUGCAC
This 241-nucleotide long non-coding RNA is filed under the name Ooceraea biroi (clonal raider ant). Its description in RNAcentral is "uncharacterized LOC109611387, transcript variant X2". The record is from RNAcentral. Lineage: Eukaryota; Metazoa; Arthropoda; Insecta; Hymenoptera; Formicidae.